UGACACACACAUACUGAGACAUACACAUACUAACAAACAUAAAGACACACAUGCAUGAGGACAUAAAGACACAUACAUACAUACACACUGAGAUACAUACAGACACCGACAUACAUACAUACACACAUACAUUCAUACAUACAGACAUACUGACAGACAUACAGACACUGACAUCCAUACACAGAUACAUUCAUAAUGGCAUACAGACAUACACAG
This is a non-coding RNA of Pelobates cultripes (western spadefoot toad), 216 nucleotides long. The record is from the annotation of a GenBank genome assembly. Lineage: Eukaryota; Metazoa; Chordata; Amphibia; Anura; Pelobatidae.